UAGAGUGUGGAGAGAAAACAUCAAUGGCAGUGGCAUAACAUCAGUUUUCUGACUCACUAAGUUCCUCAGCCACCUUCAUUCAUAUACUGAGAAGUGCUUCAAACAGCAACUAUUAUCUUGAGUUGAAUACUUCUUUCCAAUCUCUCUGAAAGUCCCUUUUUUCAUAAAGUUGAUUUUCCACAUUAUACGAUGCAGAAGACUGCUUGCUCUUGCCAGACUUAAUCCUCUGCACUCAUGGGUUCUGGAAACAGACUGUGGAAAAGCACACCCUUCUCCAUGGUGGAGAGAAGAAAACAUCUCUCUUCAGGGGAAAAAAAUGCUCACUCUUCAUUUUUGAAGAAAUGGAAAUAUAGGUCAUUCUUGGAUUUCAUCUUUUCUUCUCAUCAGCCAAAUGGGCACUGAAGUUGUUAACUUCCUUCAUGUUUCUAAAAAUGCUUUUUUUAUGUACCUCUAAAUGUUACUGUAUAAUAGCUUCUGCCUGUUGAUAAAGCUAGCUGUAAAUCUCCUCUCCAUAAACAAAAGGAGAAAGCAACACUUUUAGCUGAAGCAAUGCAUGAGGGAAACAGCUUUGCCUCAGGAUGUUUCAUGGUAUAGGUUUUUAUUUCUUAACACCACCACAAUUCACCUAUUGCUGCAAUCACUAAGGUCACUUUCCCCUUUUCCUUUCCCUUGAAUUGAAUCAAGUCCCUCAGAAGUCUUUAUGGUUUGUCUGAGAGGAAGCCACUGGUAUCACUUCAUUAUUAUUGCUGUUGUUGCUGCUGCUGCUUCAUUUUUACUGUUAUUGUUGCUUUAGUUAACAUGCCAUUUAUUUUCAGUUGAUUCUAUCUACAAUAUAGAUAAUACAGAACAACACACCUGAGGAAAUGCAGUGCAUGCAUGCAUGUGUGUGUGUAUGAACCAUACUGUUGAACAUGCGAUUAGGAUAUCAGUUUUGAGAUACAUGGUUGAAGGAAACAAGCACAGCCAUAUAAAUCAACACUUCAAUCUGUCUGUCAAGAAAGACAAUUGUGGUUUACCUCAAAUCCCAAAUAUUUUCCUUGCUCAUAAAGGUGGAAUACAAAUUAAUAAUUGAUCAUUAUACUACCCAUUAUUCAUUGUAACCAUGUGAGAUGAGUGAAGUUGCUCUUUUUAAUUCUGUUUUCUUUUAAAUAUGCCACUAUUUCUUCAAGCCUUUUCAACAGAAAGUUACCUAGUGCUCUUGUUUCCUCUGAAAUGAUUGUGUAUUCUCUCAUUUUUUGUAGGCAGACUAAGGCCCUGCAACAGGUGCAGCUUGAUUCCCAAGUGCACUGACCUUCUAUAGGAGCAUGGCAGGAAUUUCAAAUAGGAUUAACCACCCCAGACAAGGAAAAGGUCACAGGACAUUUCCACUGGAAAUUCUCAUGCAAAUAGGCCUUUUGAUAUGCAUGGCAUUUUUUCCACGUGGAUCUAAUAGCCGUGCAUACAGAAAAAGGAAAAUAUUGAAACAUGAUGGCUAAUAUAUGUUAAUCUUGUGAAGGUGUUGACUUCGCUGAAAAUCCAAGGCUGCCAAAGGGUAGGAUUGCCUGACUUUGUAUAAAAGGGGGCUCUUAGAAUAUCAAAGCCUUGCAAGAAAACAGAUCCUCUCUUACUGCUUCUCCUUUUUAGUUCUAGCACAUAUCCAUUGGUAGGUGAGGCACUCAAUAUAUGAUGAGAGGUAUCACUGUCAUUAUUACAACACUAAAGACUUGAUCAGAGUUUUUAUUAGUGCAGACAACAGCUUCCAGUAGUACUGGGCUGAAACAGGAAGAUCCAGCCUUCAGUAUUAUAAUAAUGGCAAUUUUGGACAAUGAGAAUCUCAAUUUUGAGUCAGUAAAAAAUUAUAGAUACCUAUCAUAACUGAAUAGUAACUUUCCAUAAUGCUAAUGCAACUAUUUAGUAAGCUAGAGGCUUCAGCUCAUCAUUGGCAUUUACUAUGAUACAUUUAUUAUCAUUUUUUUACUAUGAUAAAUAGCUUUCUUUUUCAUGUGAUUGACUGACCAGGAUAGAAGGUGCUAAUGCCUCUGAUUUUCUCCAUAAAGCAAAGCAGGAAUGGAGGCAUGAAUAGUGCGGAGAUGGAAAAAAUAGAAUGAGAUAUAACAGAAUGAUUUUAUCUAUAUAUUGUACUAAGCCAUAGUAUAUUUAAUCAUCAUUAGUGACUUAGUGACACUUUACUGGGUUCACACACACCACUAUGCCAAAAUCAAAUAAACAAUCUUACCAUCAUCUGUGAUGCCUUACUAUCAUCUGCGAAUUCUGUCAUGGGAUUGAUUAUGCAUAUAUGUUUAAAAAUAAUCUAAGAAAUCCAGAUGAAGCAUUUCCUGUUUGAAAAAGACCGAGGCUUAAAUCUUGAGUUAUCACACCUUCUAGCCAAGCUAAAUAGAGAAGAUAGAAUAGAAGAAGAAGAACUGUUGGCAUUCUAUACAUGCUUAGAGCCACUGUAUUACUUCCCAAAUUUCAUAGCUGAAAUGGGGGGGGUUCCCAAAGAAGGGGACAUAUUCUUAGUAAAAAAAAAAACCUAUCCAUUUCAAAUAAUGCCGCUGCUAAAAGAUGAGCGUGUGCCACCCUGCUAUCUGCAGCCUUUGGAGGCUAAAAAAAAAUGCUUUAAAAAUGUGCCUGCCCACUGGGUAAUUUUAGUUGCUCUUGCACUAAAUAAAAACAACUAUGAAGAAGCUACUAUUUUUAUUUUUAAGAUAAUACAGUUUUUAAGAUUAUGCUAUGGAUAUUGUUAGUACUAAAGAAUUUAAAUGUUUCAUUUUAAGCAGAAUAAGUAUUCUUCAAAGGACUGUAUAUAAUGUAAAUCGGCAGAGGCAAAUUCCACGUGCAGAUUCUGUGAAAGAUUGAUCCCAGGAAGAUUGAAUACUGCUGGCAUAAAUGCAACAGUCGCUUACUCUAGCUAUAUCAAUGAAAUGAGAAAGGAGGAAAAAUACUUUCCUACUUUAAUUUGAGGACCUUGUCUAUCAAGAUGAAAGGCAAACAUUUGUGAUAUGAAUUAAACAUCAGUACAUGAAAUUUUAACAAGAAAACUCUAGGAAAACACAAUGUUGGAAAGAAAUGUGUACCAUUUAAGUGCACAAACAUUUAAAAGAUAACAAUUAUUAAAUUCAAAUUGUACUUUAUAUAGUAAGAUCAAAAGCUUUUUCCAUCUUGAUGGUCUUAAGAAAUGUAA
Molecule: long non-coding RNA, 3163 nt
Organism: Python bivittatus (Burmese python)
Lineage: Eukaryota; Metazoa; Chordata; Lepidosauria; Squamata; Pythonidae
Source: RefSeq, a predicted model, not a curated record